RNAcentral lists this long non-coding RNA (8672 nucleotides) under Gallus gallus (chicken). Lineage: Eukaryota; Metazoa; Chordata; Aves; Galliformes; Phasianidae. The record is from RNAcentral.
ACUUUUUGUUGUAUAAAACAAAUAUUGUUGUGCCUAGUUACUGGGAAGAGGAUUCAAGGCAUGAGAGCUUAAGCACGAGGAGCCCAAACCUCUUGAAUUGGAUGAGCUUUCACUGAGUACAACAUAAGCUAAUGCUGACUGAUAAUGUGACAUCAGGUAGAAGGUCUCUUUUCAGAAGCUAUGAUGGAGGACUUGUGAAUGAUUUUCCACUGCAUUCUGUUUAUUUACUGGCUGGGCUCUUGUCUGUAAUCAACUAUUUAAUACUAGGUAACACCUUUCUCUUCUAUAUCGUGUUGCAAAAAUGACAAUCCAGAAGCCUGCUUCUGUGUUUGGAUCUUAGGCUUACUCUCUCUUUGCUGAGUGGGCACUUCUUCUGGGCUCCUUUAUUUCCUCCCCCACUCAAGUUCUGCCAUCAGUUCCUCUGUUCUUGCUACCUGCUGAAUUGACUGACUUUAGCUGUAGUUCUAGGCCUAUUGAGAUUAAAGGCUUUAUUAAUGCCAGGCACUGAAUGUACCAGGGAAAUGGCCACUUUGUUUCUUUAAGAAUGUUAAAUUCUGUUUAUUGGAAACACAUGGCAGAUUUCUAAUUCCUGUGUGAGUACAAAUAUCAGUUGAGUUAUGCACUUGGAAGGUCACGUGGCAGAACAGGUCCCGUGUCUUCAGUCCACAUACAUGGUUUUAAGCCACAACUAAUAUUUCCUUGUCAGUGACACCUGUGGUUUUCCUCUGUUAAAUAUUUGAUUUGGAAAGAAAAACAUGCAAGGUAGCUUUCACUCUUUGUGACUCUAAUUUAAAACCAAGCCUAUUCAUUUUUAAUAGGAAUGUACGGCACUUAAGCUGGUAAGUCAGUUUCUGGAUGAAUUAGCUGCCACUGUGCUGUUUUCUGUGUUUGAUAUGGCUUCUGCAUUUUGGAGCCAAUGUGUAUUUAGUACCUAUACAUCUCUUCAAAGAGUGUGAUAUGACUUGAAAGGCAGAAUAUUAGGUCGCUGAAAAUAUUUUAGUUUUGUUCUGCAGUAAAAUUCAGUGAAUAUUAAUGAUAGCAACAAUAUUAAAUCUUUGGUUAGAGAGAGGUGGAACACUUCAUUUUUAAGUAAUACUGUUUUUGUUUCUCUCCACUGUUAGAGAGAGGAAACACUGUUAUGAGUUGAGCCACUAGUAGGAAAUCCUAACUGGCUAUGUAGGAUUAAUGAGCUAAAAUUAUUUUUAACCUGACCUCAUAGAAGGAAAAGCACUAGAAAAAUUAAGACAGAAGCAAUUGGUGUUUUUCUCUUUGAAGGCUGUACUAAUACCUAUCAAAUAACCUUGCUUCUAGCUAGAACUUUAUUGAAAUUCUAUGUGGGAUGUUCUUAGUCCAGAAAACAAAUAUGGGGGGGAAGGGAGAGGGAGUCAGUUUUUCUCAGUGCUUUUUUGUCUGCUUUCAGAAUUGUAUGUAAUCCUGUUAUUUUAAUCAUUCUGUUGGAAACUUGGAUUUUGUGCUUCACUUGACUGUUGUUGAAAUGUCAGGAGUUAUUACCCUCUGUGCCAGCAGUGAUCAGUUUAACUGGCAUAUAAACUGAAUGGGGAGUCUGGUAAACAGAUGCUCCCUUCACUCACUUCACAGGUGCUUGGCAUGAAGUUUUACUAAUUAACUUGUUAAUGUCAGGCAUCUCUUAGGAUAAGAUGGAUAUGCAGUGGCUUGCCUGAAAUCUCGAUCUCCUCAGGCAGUUGAUGUGGGAAGCAGAACAAAAAGCCUAUCUAGAAUAACCAUGCUAAGAGCAAAGUCACUGUCACCUGCAUUUUCACAAAAGCUAUAAAACAUAAGGCAAUGACUUGCAUCUUGAUGAAUGUUGAUAACAUUUAAAGUGCAAAAUCUGCUUUCAGGUCAUCUUAAUUUUUCUUCCCACUUAGGCAAGCAUUGGUAUUCUCCUGUGUUUGUGAUGAGUCACUGUAGAAACCCAGGUGGGAGAGUUCAGAACAGAUAGUCAGCAUAUGUUAUUGCAAAGGACACAGGUAUUUUACAUAAUUAACUGCUUGAGGCCCUGAUGGAGAACAGGAAGCUCACCUGGGCCUUAAGCCGUGGUGAAAGAAUUGCCUGCUACUUCUAAGUGAAAUCAUCUGUUGCUAAUUUUCCUGCCUAGUUUGCCUUCCAUUCUUUUCAUAUGAUCUUCAGGGUUGUUUGCUAUAUCUUUAUGAUGAUUCUUUUAAGAAGCUUUUCCUUCAUCUUUGGCAGUUUCAUCAGGUUCCCUAGGAAGUUAGUCUGGAGAUGGAACACAAGCUUUUCAAGUAAGGCAGAAGCAGAAAAUAAUGCAAUUUUUUAGAAUAGAAAGGGCUGAGCUGUUCCUCUGAGUAGCAGCUUGUUUGAACUGACCCACAGUGAACUCCUUAUUGAUCUGCCUCUUCAUCUUUCCUACCUAAUCUAUGCACCCUUUCAUGCUUACUUGUAAACAGUUGCUUCCAGGUUGUUUGCUGCUGCUGCUUCACUGCAUUUAAUUAAAUCAUUUGUCCUCAAAUACAGGCUCUUUGGCAACUAUAGUUCUCUUGAUUUAAGACAGCCUUGCUGCAUAUAUUUUUUUUCUAUUGGAGUAUACAUUGUGUUAGCUGGUAUUCAAAUUCAUUUCAUGGCUUUUGAGUUCUGUGGGGCCUCAGGAAUAUUCUACUAAAUAGACUGCAGUUGGCUUCCUUUAUGUAGUCCUUUGCCUAUUCAGUGCCUCAACAUCCUUGGGUAGCAAGUUCCAAGGCGAGGAAUUAGUUCACCAGGGAAGUAGUGAUAAGAGUUCCUGUCACCCACCUUUGAGGUAACCUCUUUUUUUAAUGUGAAAUGGGUAUACUGGAAAAUGACUUUUUCCAGUUAUGUGUAAUAUGUUAUCUCUUAAUUGUUGGGUUUAUAAGACUUCUCUAACAACAUAUGCAGUGCACAUGGCUUCUGUUGUUCUGCGUCCUGGAUUACUUCUCUUUUAUUUACACUCACUGCAAAUAGUCUUUGGCAGAAUGUGAUAUAGAACAAACAUACCCACAGCAGAUUCAAGUAGUCUUGUUUCUUCAAAAAUAUUACUUGAGGUGUUGGUUAAAUUAUGAACAUAAAACAUUAAUUUGCAAACAGCAUAAUGAUUUGAGAAGUUUCUGAAGUGUGUAAAUGUGUGUGUGUCUCAGCCUCCAUAUGCAUGCGCGUACAUAUAAAGAUCAAUAUAUUUUGCUAGUUUUUCUCUACUUUUCUGGUUUUGUUCAGUUACUUCUGACUUGCUGUUUUAUCAGUGACUACUUCUGGAAAUGAGAGGAAACACGUGACCAUUGUUUCCUGUCUGCUUUACCAGAAGGCUUUUUACACAGUGCCUGUGGUACCUUGUGUGAGCUGUUAGGGAGCUGGCUUUUGCCAGAACACUCAGUGUCCUUUUGCUGUGUUGUAUGCAGGAACAUUGAUUCUUCUGAGGAGAAGAUCUGAAGUUAGUCUGGGCAUAGCAUUAGUUUAAAUUCUUCAGGGCUGCUGACUGAUGCUCUUAAGUGUGCAUCUGUUUGUGAUCUUCUAAAGGAAGCCUUUGAAAGAUCCACAAUUGAUAGGUGCUAUAAUGCUAAACUGUUAGUUUAAUGGGGGCGUCAGAACUGAAGUGCAGGGAGCACAGCUUGUCACCAGUACCUCCUGCAUAUGUUGAUGCAAUGUGAAGAAUGGAAAUAAACCUUUUAUUGGAGAAAUUACUUUCUGAGGCUCAUCUGAAGCAUUCGGCCUUGCCAGCUUUUGAAAGUAAGAGCAUGUGUGCAUAAAAUAAAAAAUUGAGAAGUGGUUUAGGGAAAAGUGUUAUCUCAUAAAAAAGGGAGUUAAAUAAAACUUGUAUAACUUGUGGUAUUAUUUGCAUUUAUCCAAAGGAGAAGUAGAAAAUGGAAACUGAAUGAAGAAUCCUCAGGUAUUUCUGCUGUCUAUCUCUUUAGGAUAUUUUAACUGCUGUUACUAAGUUACUGUGAAUGCUGAUUUUUCCUCCUGCAGGAAUUGGACAUAGCUCAUUAAUAAAAUUGCUGGAAAAUAGGACUUUGUGGGCUUUUAAAUUCUAUUCUUUUCCAAAACAGUGUUUGAUGGAAGAUAAACCAUAAAGAAGACUGUAAUUGAAACGUUGAUUGUCUGACAGGUGUUGAGCCAAAAACUCCUGGUCACAGGCUGAAGUGUCUUGGAGCUGAAGUAUCUUGAAUACAUGUGAUGUCUAAGCUCUGUUUAGAUUUAACUGCUGUAUCAAUUUUAACUAUGUGCAUUAAUAAGCUUAAUGGAAGAGCAGUGUACAGUGUUCUAAGGAAGUAAUGCAGUUAUUGUUAAGUACUUAGAUUGUCUUUGUUUUUUUCUGACAUUACUCUUCUUUUGCCUCUUUCUUUAGAAGAAAAGAAUGGCUAUGGAGAUUAGUUUUUGGAAACAGUAAGAAACAGCAGAUCCCAGAUCUAUCUCAGCCUGGCAGUUAACUUCAGGAAAAAGUCUUGCUUCAGGAGCCUAUUUAUAAGUGAUGCGUGCCUACCACUAUAGGAUUUUUAAAAACAUUGAGUUAAGUCGUCUUUAUAGUCAGUGUUUUUUAAAGGAAUUUAAGCUUAGCACUGAACAGACAAUACCAGCUCUUAUUGUAGUUUUGACACUUUUAAGUGUAAUUGAGUUAAACUGUUUUCAUGACAUUAGUGAAUACAAGAAUGAAACGCUAGCCCCAAAUUAAUCACUUUUUAAAUAAGUCAUGUAAUUUAGAGGACAAUUUAUUUUUGUGUAAGCCCUAAAACGUGUGUAUAUAUACAGAUAUGAAUGGCUUUUCAGUGUCAAUCUGUAGCAAAAUCUUAAAUGUUUUCAGAGCAGGAUAAACAAGAGAAUUUUUGCUGCUUCACGGAAGUAAAAUGUUUAUAGUCUGAAUUUUAUUUCAAGUAUAUUAAAUGUAGUAUGCUAUAUAGAGCUAUGUAGGGUUUUUUAAUAUUGAAUUUGAAUUGUUAGCACAGACAGAGAUACAUGUUGAAAAAGUCUGCUCCAAAAAAUUGAAUUUGGAAUGAGAAAGGAUUCAUACAGCCUGGAAAUAUUAAAGUGUAAGAACUAUUUCCAUGGUUGUGUUAAGAUAUGUAGGAUGUAGUCUAUUUACAAACGAGUUUGAAUAUCAUUGUAGAUAGCAAUAAAUAGAAGAGUGAGAAAAGAGUGGCAAGUUCAGUUGCAAGGUACUUUUUUCCUGCAAAUUUAUGAAAACAUCCUAGGAGCUUCUAACCUCACAUCUUUAAGAAAAUCUUUUUCCUACAGUUUGAGUCUUUUUUUUUUUUAAGGCAGAGUUGAAUGCACAGUGAAGCAGAAAUUGGAGUGCUGAUACACCACUGAUAAUGAUAUUGCAGAUGCUGUUGCUUCAGUGGGUUUAUAAACUUUUAAUUCAUUUGAAUUGAGAGAGCAAGCCGAAGGAGGUCUUCAAAAAGGGAACUUACAGUAGACAGUUGUUGCAGGCAAACUGUUAGGUAAGCACUGAUAAAUAGUCUGAUUGCAUGUUGAUGACAAGUAUUGUGUGCUCUGCUUUGAAAACUUAAUGAUACAUGUGCCCUAACGGUACGACUAUAGUGGUUGUUGUUAGACAGUUGCUGUUAGAUGGUGGGACUUGGCAAACAGACUGCGCCCGAUUUUGCUGCCAUUGAUCUUAGCUGCAGGAUCACAAACUGAAAGAGGGAACUGAGCCUUCAGGGGGUUUGAAACAAAUAUUGCAUCAUGGAUGUUUCACGUUGCAGAAGCAUCUCUUUCCAAGAUAUUCAUGUGUGUACGCAAUUAACAUCUUGUUGGAGAAGAUUGUUUGGAUUAAGGGUAAUUUUCCUGAGAGAGGGUAAAAAUGACCAAGCAAACAGCCUGGUUCAAAUGCUGCUUGAGGUUGGUGGCCUAUUACAACUAUGGUGCAGAAGACUGUUUUGAUACCUUGACAACACUGAGUUACUUGACUUCAAGAAUAGUGAGCAGCUACAGAAGACUUUAUGGUAGUGAAGACUGUAGUCUUUGCUGGAAGUUUGUGUGCCCAAAGCAGUCUUGUGGCAAAAUGGAGCUUUCUCUGGGCUCAGUUGCACUGCCAAGGAGUCAAGGCAAUUAGGGAGCUUAAGGAGUUUUAGAUAAUAACGCUUCUGGGUGUUCAAAUGGUCAUAAACAAGUGUGUAAAAAUAAUGUGCAACAGAAGAGUGGCAUUGUGGAAGCUCUGAAUUCAUACUGUUUUUUUCUCUGAUUAGGUUAAUUUAGCCAUUGUGCAAUUCUGACCUUUGCAGUUCGCGCAAAGAGAGAAUCCUGAGAGACGAGGUUUUGUCUUUGUUUAUUUAAUUGUAUCCUAUAACAAAAAUUUGUGUAGCAAACUGAAGGUAUUUCAAGGUGAGUAUGUGAGGGAUGAAUGAAGGUGCAAAAGAAAACAUCCCAAGUUUAAGAAAACCUAAGCUGAAAUGUUCUCAGUGUUACUGCACACUUGUCAAGUUUAGACAGUUGCUUUGUGUAUUUCAAGCUCCAAAUUUUGGGGGAAAAAAAAGUAAAAGAAUCUAGGCUGAAACAGCUCACAAGGAAAAGACUGUGAAAGCACAGAAAAGCGGAACGUACUUGGAAGCUUUUCUUUGUGUGCCCGAGGUUCCACCCUGGUACACAGGCUAUGCUUUGUGGCACAGCAGUGUCAAACUUUGAUUUAUCUUGGGUUUAAAAAUGACACACAACAAACACACCUAAGUAACCAGUAGUUUCUUGCCUGAUUUCUUUUUUCUUGCUUGUAACAGUUGAAGUGCUAGAGGCUGCUAGAAUUAACUCUUUGUGGUCUUAAACCUGGAAUCCUUCCUGUGAGGAGAGGUGAGGACUUGAAACUGCAAGAAUCUUUUGAUUUACUGUAUUGCACGUGGGACGGUUCAGGACUCCAAGGAAUAUAUUACGUGCAUGGGGGAAAUCUAAAAUUCUAGAAAAACAACCUGGAAAGUUAACAACUGUUUUCAUCUUUCUGGAGAAAAGCAUGCAAAAAUGCAGAAGCUGCUAAACUGAAGGAGUUCCUUGUUGUUACAUGUAAUUGAAUGUUAAUGGCAGUUCUUCUGUUUAGCUGUGUUUUUAGUUCACAGCUCUGAAGUGUCACAUGAUUUCAGUGUUAGGAAACCUUUUUAAAGAGUCACUCUGAGCAUAAGUUGUGCUUCACUGAUAUUUACUAUACCUAGGUUGCAGAUUCAUCUAACCUAUCUUGUUUUGCAUUAUCCAUCCACUGUUUUUUUUUUUUUUUUUGGUUUUUUGUUUUUGAGAAAAUAAAAGCUGUAGUUUCUUUGACCUCUGUUCUGGAGAAGGCAGAAAGUUCAUAAAUCAUGAAUCCAACCCCAUGCAUAUUGCAUAAGGGUAAGGAACAGCGCAACAACUGAUGUACAGUAAUUCAAUAUAACCUAGCACAGAGUGGCACAAAACUACAGUAUUCUGCAGUAUUUGUGAGCUGCAGUAUUCUAGGGGUUUGACAUAGCGCUUUCCUACAUGAAAAGGGUUGCAUUGUGCACGAAGUUGUGAAAGAAACACUGCUAUUCAGAGUUUUUCAGCUAUUUAUCUGUAGGGAGUUAGUAUUUGCUGUCUAGGGUGUUUCUGGGUUUUGUUUUUUUUUGUAGAAUUGGACAGAGAUAUCGCCUGAUCAGCACAAUGCUGCUCACAAAUGUGUGGCAAACCCCCAUGGCAAUGAAGUUUGAGUUGAACAUAUGGAGAAAGAACUAAAACAUUCACAAACUCACUACAUGUUCAGUCUCAUUUACAUCAACUUAAGAAUAAAGCUUACUUGUUUUAAUUGAAACCUGUAUCUGUAUUGGUUGAAUUCAUUGUUUUGAGCUCCUAAUAAACAUAUUGACCAGUCUCCUACUUCCACGUUUGCUUUGAAGGAAGCGUUGGCAUUAAACCUUAAAUGGACUGUCUUUCAGUUGUUCUGAGUGGAAAAGAACUUAGCUGCUUAAAUUAAUGCUGAUUGUGUGGAAUACCAUGCAUCAUAAAACAAAAUGGUGUUUUGUCUUAAGUAUGAUGUUUUCUCUAGUGUUCUGUGAUGUUCAUCGAAGGCCUUCAGUUUUUUACUAUAUUGCUUUUAAAGAACUGGCCAGUGUUGUAGUUCAGUUUUCAACAUUCUGAAUCUUUAUUACAGCAUUCAAACUCCUUUAAAUUCAUUUUGUCAUUGCAGAUGUGAUAGUGAUCUUAAACCCUCAAGUUCUGAUAUCUGCCAAUUUUUGCUGAGAUGGUUGUAAGUUAUCCUCUCCAAAGCAGAGGAGUGAUGCUGGCAGUGCUGCUUGCCAAAGCUGUGAGUUUUAGGAGCAACAGAAGCAAGCCAGUGAGAGAAAUAGGUAAAUCAUUGUUGCCUCUGUCUGUGCAUACUGUAUGAAGAUAGCUUCAGAGGGAGGAAGGUUAAAAAAAAAUAAAAUGUGUAGUUAGACAAGAAAGCCUGUAUUCCUGUUUUGUCAUCCCAGACAAGAGACAGGUUGUACAGAACAUGCCAUUCUGUGCUGCUUCUUCCUGAUCUCGUGGGCUGCUGCACAGUAAGUGUUGCCUCUCUGCCAUAAAUGUGAAAUGAAGUCAUUGUUUCUGCGUUUGCCAGUGCAGAUGUUUGUAUUUCUUAUCAAUAAUCUGUCAGGUGUUGUUUGCACAGCGUAAUUACUGAGAUUUUUUCUUCUUUUUAUUCACAUUUUCCUGCUGGAUGGCAUCAUUCCAAGGGAUGUCACUGUGGUGGGUAAUCAGAACUUUGCAGCAUACAGAAC